GAUCAUGGCUCAGGAUGAACGCUGGCGGCAACGCUUAACACAUGCAAGUCGAGCGGAGGUUGAAAGCUUGCUUUAACCUUAGCGGCGGACGGGUGAGUAACACGUGGGUAACCUACCUCAUACAGGGGGAUAACGUAUAGAAAUGUACGCUAAUACCGCAUAAGCCUACAGAAUGGCAUCAUUCAGUGGAAAAACUCCGGUGGUAUGAGAUGGGCCUGCGUCUGAUUAGCUAGUUGGUGGGGUAACGGCUCACCAAGGCGACGAUCAGUAGCCGGUCUGAGAGGAUGAACGGCCACAUUGGGACUGAGACACGGCCCAAACUCCUACGGGAGGCAGCAGUGGGGAAUCUUCCGCAAUGGGCGCAAGCCUGACGGAGCAACGCCGCGUGAGUGAAGAAGGUUUUCGGAUCGUAAAGCUCUGUUGAGAGGGACGAGAGAUAUAAUCAGGAAAUGGGUUAUAGAGGACGGUACCUUUCGAGGAAGCCACGGCUAACUACGUG
This 499-nucleotide ribosomal RNA is filed under the name uncultured bacterium. RNAcentral's name for it is "bacterial SSU rRNA". It matches the Rfam family "Bacterial small subunit ribosomal RNA", at positions 15 to 507 of the family's 1533-position model. The record is from RNAcentral.